AUGGGAGCAGGGCUAUAUGGGUACAUCGAUCAAUCAACUCCUGAACCACCUAAAACCAUCGUGACCAAAAACUUUGAAGGGAAAGAUCAGAUCGCCCCCAACCCCGCCUACAACCCCUGGCUUGUCCAGGAUCAGCAGAUCGUGGCCUAUCUUCUGCGGAAUCUCUCCAAGGAAGUUCUCAUCCAAGUAGCAUCCUUAGAACAGUCUCAUGCCAUCUGGUCUGCCCUAGCAAAGAUGUUCGCCGCUCAAUCCCGUUCCCGUGAGAACAACUGUCGCAUAGCUCUCUCCAACGCA
Molecule: ribosomal RNA, 294 nt
Filed under: Triticum aestivum (bread wheat)
Lineage: Eukaryota; Viridiplantae; Streptophyta; Magnoliopsida; Poales; Poaceae
Description: partial small subunit ribosomal RNA
Source: RNAcentral